This 26-nucleotide non-coding RNA is filed under the name Homo sapiens (human). The record is from RNAcentral. Lineage: Eukaryota; Metazoa; Chordata; Mammalia; Primates; Hominidae.
UGGGAAGAACAUAGCUUGCAGGUGGA